GCGGCCGUAACUAUAACGGUCCUAAGGUAGCGAAAUUCCUUGUCGGGUAAGUUCCGACCUGCACGAAUGGCGUAAUGAUGGCCAGGCUGUCUCCACCCGAGACUCAGUGAAAUUGAACUCGCUGUGAAGAUGCAGUGUACCCGCGGCAAGACGGAAAGACCCCGUGAACCUUUACUAUAGCUUGACACUGAACAUUGAGCCUUGAUGUGUAGGAUAGGUGGGAGGCUUUGAAGUGUGGACGCCAGUCUGCAUGGAGCCGGCCUUGAAAUACCACCCUUUAAUGUUUGAUGUUCUAACGUGGACCCGUGAUCCGGGUUGCGGACAGUGUCUGGUGGGUAGUUUGACUGGGGCGGUCUCCUCCUAAAGAGUAACGGAGGAGCACGAAGGUUGGCUAAUCCUGGUCGGACAUCAGGAGGUUAGUGCAAUGGCAUAAGCCAGCUUGACUGCGAGCGUGACGGCGCGAGCAGGUGCGAAAGCAGGUCAUAGUGAUCCGGUGGUUCUGAAUGGAAGGGCCAUCGCUCAACGGAUAAAAGGUACUCCGGGGAUAACAGGCUGAUACCGCCCAAGAGUUCAUAUCGACGGCGGUGUUUGGCACCUCGAUGUCGGCUCAUCACAUCCUGGGGCUGAAGUAGGUCCCAAGGGUAUGGCUGUUCGCCAUUUAAAGUGGUACGCGAGCUGGGUUUAGAACGUCGUGAGACAGUUCGGUCCCUAUCUGCCGUGGGCGCUGGAGAACUGAGGGGGGCUGCUCCUAGUACGAGAGGACCGGAGUGGACGCAUCACUGGUGUUCGGGUUGUCAUGCCAAUGGCACUGCCCGGUAGCUAAAUGCGGAAGAGAUAAGUGCUGAAAGCAUCUAAGCACGAAACUUGCCCCGAGAUGAGUUCUCCCUGACCCUUUAAGGGUCCUGAAGGAACGUUGAAGACGACGACGUUGAUAGGCCGGGUGUGUAAGCGCAGCGAUGCGUUGAGCUAACCGGUACUAAUGAACCGUGAGG
RNAcentral lists this ribosomal RNA (992 nucleotides) under Escherichia coli. RNAcentral's name for it is "partial 23S ribosomal RNA". It matches the Rfam family "Bacterial large subunit ribosomal RNA", at positions 1930 to 2916 of the family's 2925-position model. Lineage: Bacteria; Pseudomonadati; Pseudomonadota; Gammaproteobacteria; Enterobacterales; Enterobacteriaceae. RNAcentral also lists the same sequence under 1 other name. The record is from RNAcentral.